AGCAGGCAAGUACAAGAUACUCGGGAAGAGUCGGCCACGCCCGAACGAAACGACCGAAUCCCCAGAAACGAAAAACUCACGUGAAACGAAACGAAGAGAGCUUUAGCAAGUCGAACUGAUCGGACGAAAACCGCUGCACCGAAACCCGCAAAGACUACGCUGGAGCUCCCUGCAUUUGGGCUACCGCGACUGCCAUCGCCAUCAUCUUUGUUUUCGUUGUCAUUGCUGGGCGCAAAUGGCCGGCGUGUGUGUUGUUAAUGUUUCUGUGCUACAAGUUUUGCAAAGUUUGGUUCGGAGGGAGUAUGGAACGCCGUUUUGUGGUCAACGUGGCCAGAGUGCCUCAAAAGUACUCCUGCCGCAUUCUGGUCACUGUUAUAAGUGUGAUGCCCUGACACCAUCAGCAGCUUUUAAGUAGAUUCAUGGCACAUGAGGAACCUGUGAUGUACACCAUCGCACACAGUCAAGAAAAAUGUAGCAUUUAACCUUGCUUUCCUUCAUUAUAACAAAAAAAAAAAAAAAGAAAGAAAGAAAGAAAGAACACUAGAGAAAGGGUCGGCAAAACAGUGAGUGUUUUGUUGUUGUUGUUUUUGAUUCUAUCGAUCUCUCACUGUCAGAUUGCACUGCCGAUCUGUUCACAAUCAUAACUAACUAAUACCUUAGCUUUGGCCAAUCUCAUGUUGCAAUUUUGCUUCAAACACAACAUUCAGUGAUUCUUAUGAAAACAGCAGCAUUUCUCGAAAGAUCCUGGAACGGCCACAAUCUCAAGAGGUAGUACGAUUCUACCCGUCGUCAUAUUUCGUCCGCCAAGCCAUUGCGCGGAGAUGUUGGCUCCAUGCCCAUUUCAACACAGGCUCACUCGCCCGCGCUCGCGCGUCGUCGCUUUGCCUUCAUGCCACCAGCCAGCGCUGCCUGUCGCGCAUGCGCUGUUCUUGUUGGGUUCGCUUUGGCUGCUGUAACGGUCGUUUCUCGUCGCCGCGUGUAGUUCGCGUAAUUGCGAGCGUUCCAGCAAGUCUAAAGCGUUUAAGAGGCUUUGUAUUGUUGUUCUCACCUGAUGCUGUCGUUCUUGCAACCCGUCUGAUAUUGCAACUGUCUGUAAGUGGAAGCGUUUCUUCUAACCGCGAGCAGACCAGUCGGUCUCGUUUGACAUGUCAAAGAGUGAAGACGCUGCCUUGCAUGUGAAGCCAAAUCGUUCUUCGCCUUCAGGAUUCUUGCCGUUUCAGGGAUCUGCACAACGACAGGGAGAUAGAACGCCAAGUGAAGUCUACUGUAUGCUUUGUGCAGACGGUUCAGCGUGUAUGACGCAGCGGCCUCCAGCAAGAGAAACUCAAGCACCGUGUUCAAAUGCGGUGGGGACUCUUGCUCGACAUAACAACGCUUAGAAGUGCUUUUUCGGAAGAAGGACAAGUUGGACCGGAAAUGAGGACCUAGGUGUGCUCUUUUGCGUUGUAGUUCACCGUUCGAUCAUUACCAAUUUUUGUGCCCCCGUGAGUUCAACGCUCAGGUAUGUUGAUGAUAAAUGGAUAUGCGUUAAAAGGUACGUACUCCGGAGUGGUGAAUUGUUGUGGUGAAGUGAUUUGUUGCUGCUAUCUCCUGUUUCGUGAGGGUUCUUGUCGGUACUCAUAUACCGCAGGCAUGAGGGGCUUUCUUUGCAGAACAUUUCAGUGAACCAAGACUGCAGCAUUUUCAAGAUUGCCAUAACGAGCAUCAAUGCAGCUCUCAUGUCAACAUCAGCAUCAAGACAGCUCUGAUGUGAGCAUCAGCCAGGGCAGCUCUGAUGUUAACAUCAUCAUCAGAGCAGCUGUGAUGUUAACAUCAGAUCUGAUGCGAUUUGGGACACUGUCUUGAUGCUAACAUCAGCUGGUGUUAACAUCAGCAUCAGAGCAGCUCUGUGUUAGCAUCAAGACAGUGUCCCAAAUCACAUCAGACCUGAUGUCGCUUUUUUUUUCAAUAGGGAUGCUUCUCCUUGACCAUGUUUUUUUUUUUUUGCUUAUUGACGUUUUUGUGAAGGAACGCUGGAUAUGUGCACACCAUUGACUGUCAGCUCUAGUCCCGGUCAGCUGUCAUUUUUUACAGUUCUCGUUGUAGUAAUUGCUAGUCAUUUGCACCAAAGGCGCUGGAUGUGAACUAUUUUCUCUUUCCUGGACUUGCAUUUCUCCCAGUCGUUGGCUUUGUCAUUUUUUCAUAAUUUAAAUUUUCUCUUGGUAACUCUUGAGUUUCGUAAUCCCUACACUGUGCAUUUUACCAUUUUUGAUAAAGCUCAUUCCACAUACCGUGCACAGACUAUUUUGUGCUGACGUGCAGCAAUUGUUCCGUUACGUCUGAUGUUACAUGCCAUUCAUUUUUGUGUCUGGGGUACUGAAGCGUGAGCAGAUAGGCAGACUGCCUAUUACUGCAUAACUUCGUUUUCUUUGAGACACCACCACUUGUGCAGGCAGACCGCCUCUUGCUGUAUGCUUUUUCUUUCUUUUGAGACACCGUUGACGUGCUAGUGGUUACGCAGGCAGGCUGCAUAUUACUGUAUACCAUUUCCCCCCAUGCAGCAAUUUUACCGUUACGUCUAAUAUUAAUGCUACAAGCCGUUCAUUUCUUUCUGGGCCACUACCGAAGUGCAAGUGGUUAGGCAGACUGCCUACUACUGUAUACCUUUUUUGGUUCCUUUCAGAGACACCUCUUACUGGGUACGUUUCCCCCCCCCCCCCCCCUUUUGAGACACCAUUGAAGGGCCAGUGGUUACGCAGGCAGGCUGGAUAUUACGGUAGACCAUUUCCACCCUUUUCUUUUCAGGCUACAUUGCCAAUGACAGUAGUUAUGCGGACAGGCUGCAUAUUUCUGUAUACCCCUCUUUUUUUGUUUUUCAUUUCAGACACAAUUGGCAUACAUUGGGUGAUGCAGGCAGACUGCUUAGUGUGCACCACUCGUCGUUUAGUCUAUUGAGGUGCUACAAGUGUUGUGUCAGUCUAUUUCCUCUCCGAAAAUAAAAUGUUGGGCUCUACACACA
Ornithodoros turicata is the source of this 2998-nucleotide long non-coding RNA. RefSeq lists it as uncharacterized. The record is from RefSeq and is a predicted model, not a curated record. The transcript is spliced from 3 exons. Lineage: Eukaryota; Metazoa; Arthropoda; Arachnida; Ixodida; Argasidae.